This 346-nucleotide ribosomal RNA is filed under the name uncultured eukaryote. Its description in RNAcentral is "SSU rRNA". It matches the Rfam family "Eukaryotic small subunit ribosomal RNA", at positions 594 to 945 of the family's 1831-position model. The record is from RNAcentral.
AUAGCGUAUAUUAAAGUUGUUGCAGUUAAAAAGCUCGUAGUUGAACCUUGGGCCUGGUUGGUCGGUCCGCCUCACCGCGUGCACUGAUCCGACCGGGUCUUUCCUUCUGGGGAGCCGCAUGCCCUUCACUGGGUGUGUCGGGGAACCAGGACUUUUACUUUGAAAAAAUUAGAGUGUUCAAAGCAGGCCUAUGCUCGAAUACAUUAGCAUGGAAUAAUAGAAUAGGACGUGUGGUUCUAUUUUGUUGGUUUCUAGAGUCGCCGUAAUGAUUAAUAGGGAUAGUUGGGGGCAUUAGUAUUCAGUUGCUAGAGGUGAAAUUCUUGGAUUUACUGAAGACUAACUACUG